AGUGAACGCUGGCGGUAGGCCUAACACAUGCAAGUCGAACGGCAGCACAGGAGAGCUUGCUCUCUGGGUGGCGAGUGGCGGACGGGUGAGGAAUACAUCGGAAUCUACUCUGUCGUGGGGGAUAACGUAGGGAAACUUACGCUAAUACCGCAUACGACCUACGGGUGAAAGCAGGGGCUCUUCGGACCUUGCGCGAUUGAACGAGCCGAUGUCGGAUUAGCUAGGUGGCGGGGUAAAGGCCCACCAAGGCGACGAUCCGUAGCUGGUCUGAGAGGAUGAUCAGCCACACUGGAACUGAGACACGGUCCAGACUCCUACGGGAGGCAGCAGUGGGGAAUAUUGGACAAUGGGCGCAAGCCUGAUCCAGCCAUACCGCGUGGGUGAAGAAGGCCUUCGGGUUGUAAAGCCCUUUUGUUGGGAAAGAAAUCCAGCUGGCUAAUACCCGGUUGGGAUGACGGUACCCAAAGAAUAAGCACCGGCUAACUUCGUGCCAGCCGCCGCCGUAA
RNAcentral lists this ribosomal RNA (506 nucleotides) under uncultured bacterium. RNAcentral describes it as "partial 16S ribosomal RNA". It matches the Rfam family "Bacterial small subunit ribosomal RNA", at positions 29 to 523 of the family's 1533-position model. The record is from RNAcentral.